UUUCAGAUGCGGAUGGAUCGACCUCCCGGCAGAGCGCCCCGUCCCAGAUGAGGCGAUCCCCCCGAGAAGGAAGUAAAGCCGGAUAGCAGCAGCGAAGGCGAAGCAGGUAGAAGGUGGUCUACUUGCAAGAUAUCCCAGCCCAGGAUGCCAGAGGACAGGUUCCGUGCAGAGAGGCAGAGCCGAAGUUUGCGAUCGGCCGCACCGCAGCCGGCGCGGGGGACGUCUCGAUGUACGCAUCCUAUCGAGGAUGGGUCUUGUCCUAUUACGUUACAAAAGGUCUCUGAUGCCUAUUUUCUGAGGAUCUACCAUUUGAUGUUGAGAAGCAGCAGCGAGAAGAUGUCUUGGGGCAUUUUGUUCAGCACAGUGUUUCAAAUAAGGGUUGCGGUCACUGUGUGAGUUAGAGUCUCCUGCUGUGUGUCAGGGUGUGUCUGUCUGUGAGAGUCGGUGGGUCUGGGUGUGCUUGUGUGUGUGUGUGUUGUGCGGUUCUAACCUUGUGUGUAUUGCUUUUGCUUUUCAGGACUUUAAAUUCACUUUUAAAUUUAGAAUAAAAAAUCCCCAGCUGGGGGGGUUUUUUUUUUUCCCUCCCAGCUGGGGUUUUUUUUCCUCGGUCCCGGCCGGUCUGCGAGGCGACAGUCAUUGCCUAAGUUUGGGCACGGACCGGCCCCGGACCGGGGUUUUUGUCAGGCAGGCUGAUUUUUGAGGCCCCUGGGAACUGUGUUCCCGUGGGGUAGGAGGGGUGUGUGUGUGUGUGUGUGUGUGUGUGUGUGUGUGUGUUGUGCGGUUCUAACCUUGUGUGUAUUGCUUUUGCUUUUCAGGACUUUAAAUUCACUUUUAAAUUUAGAAUAAAAAAUCCCCAGCUGGGGGGGUUUUUUUUUUUUUCCCUCCCAGCUGGGGUUUUUUUUCCUCGGUCCCGGCCGGUCUGCGAGGCGACAGUCAUCGCCUAAGUUUGGGCACAGACCGGCCCCGGACCGGGGUUUUCGUCAGGCAGGGUGAUUUUGAGGCCCCCGGGAACCAAGUUCCCGUGGGGUAGGAGGGGUGUGUGUUGUGGGGUUCUAACCUUGUGUGUAUUGCUUUUCAGGACUUUAAAUUAACUUUUAAAUUUAGAAUAAAAAAUCCCCAGCUGGGGGGGUUUUUUUUUUUUCCCUCCCAGCUGGGGUUUUUUUUCCUCGGUCCCGGCCGGUCUGCGAGGCGACACUCAUCGCCUAAGUUUGGGCACGGACCGGCCCCGGACCGGGGUUUUUGUCAGGCAGGCUGAUUUUUGAGGCCCCUGGGAACUGUGUUCCCGUGGGGUAGGAGGGGUGUGUGUGUGUGUGUUGUGCGGUUCUAACCUUGUGUGUAUUGCUUUUGCUUUUCAGGACUUUAAAUUCACUUUUAAAUUUAGAAUAAAAAAUCCCCAGCUGGGGGGGUUUUUUUUUUUUCCCUCCCAGCUGGGGUUUUUUUUCCUCGGUCCCGGCCGGUCUGCGAGGCGACAGUCAUCGCCUAAGUUUGGGCACGGACCGGCCCCGGACCGGGGUUUUCGUCAGGCAGGCCGAUUUCGAGGCUCCCGGGAACCACGUUCCUGAGGACCACCGCCAGCAGGGUUAUAACGGGGCGGUUGAGAGGAGAGCGAAGGUGAGUGUGUGUGUGAGCAGAAGCCGGCUUCUGUGGCGAAUGAGUAUUGUGUUUUGUGUGUGCUUGUUGUGGUUUGGGGGAGCAGUAAUAAUGAAACAGCAUGUAUUGUCCUUUUCAGAAAUGGUUAUAUUACGUUAAUAUGUAUUUGGCUUGUAUUGUUCUGUAUUUGCUGCUGUGUUUCUCUGUAUUGCUCUGUAUCUGAAUUAGGAGUUUUUCAGCGUGUACAGCAAUUGUAUUGUAUUGUAAUGCAUUUGUAUCCAGUUUCUAUGUGUUUUUCUGUACUGUAAAUAAAUUCAUUCAAUAAAGUUGCCUCACCCCUAAUAAAGAUGAUCCCCCCCACCCCCUCCUCCCCAACCCCUGUGUCUUUGGUGUGGUGUAGUCAUUAUUUUCAUUCUAUUUCUUGCUUUUCUGUCUCUUCCUAACCUUAUUUCUGUCUGUCACUUCCUCUAUUUUUCUGUUCCUUUGCUCUCUGACUCCAACCCUUUAUUUUCCCUCCAACUCUGUUUCCUUUCCUUCUAGCUCCGAGUUAGACAGACAGCAAAUGGAGUCGAUUCCUUUCCACUGUAACUCAGUUCCAGUGAACAGGAAUCGUCUCUGUUUCCUUUCUCUCUACCUCUGAGUUAGACAGAAAAGAAAUAGAGUUGGUUUCUCUCCACUCUCCCUCUGUCUCUUUUCUCUCCAACUCUGUUUCUUUUCCCUCUAGCUCCGAGUUGGACAGACAGCAAAUGGAGUCGAUUCCUUUCCCCUGUAACUCUGAGUUACAGGGACCAGGCAUUGUCUCUGUUUCCUUUCUCUCCACCUCUGAGUUAGACAGAAAAGAAAUAGAGUCGGUUUGUCUCCACCCUUCCUCUGUUUCUUUUCCCUCUGGCUCUGAGUUAGACAGACAGCAAACGGAGUCGAUUCCUUUCCACUGUAACUCAGUUACAGUGACCAGGAAUUGCCUCCGUUUCCUUUCUCUCUACCUCUGAGUUAGACAGAAAAGAAGUAGAGCUGUUUUCUUUUCCCUCCAACUUAGUUUUCUUUCCCUCUAGCUCUGAGUUAGACAGAAAGCAAACGGAGUUGAUUUCUUUCCCCUGUAACUCAGUUACAGUGAACAGGAAUUGUCUCUGCUUUGUUUCUCUCUACCUCCGAGUUAGAUGGAAAAGAGAGUUGGUUUCUUUUCCCCCAUCCCUCUCUUCUUUUUCUUUCUACUUCAACUCUGUUUCUUUUCUCUCUCAC
Poecile atricapillus (Black-capped chickadee) is the source of this 2829-nucleotide long non-coding RNA. RefSeq lists it as uncharacterized. The record is from RefSeq and is a predicted model, not a curated record. The transcript has 5 exons. NCBI's taxonomy places the organism in Eukaryota, Metazoa, Chordata, Aves, Passeriformes, Paridae.